UGGCGGNAUGCCUUACACAUGCAAGUCGAACGGCAGCAUGAUCUAGCUUGCUAGAUUGAUGGCGAGUGGCGAACGGGUGAGUAAUACAUCGGAACGUGCCCUGUGGUGGGGGAUAACUAGUCGAAAGAUUAGUUAAUACCGCAUACGACCUGAGGGUGAAAGUGGGGGACCGCAAGGCCUCAUGCUAUAGGAGCGGCCGAUGUCUGAUUAGCUAGUUGGUGAGGUAAAGGCUCACCAAGGCGACGAUCAGUCUCUGGUCUGAGAGGACGAUCAGCCACACUGGGACUGAGACACGGUCCA
This 300-nucleotide ribosomal RNA is filed under the name Ralstonia sp. TRP9:6-1. Its description in RNAcentral is "bacterial SSU rRNA". It matches the Rfam family "Bacterial small subunit ribosomal RNA", at positions 37 to 333 of the family's 1533-position model. Lineage: Bacteria; Pseudomonadati; Pseudomonadota; Betaproteobacteria; Burkholderiales; Burkholderiaceae. The record is from RNAcentral.